GUUUGUUUGAUACAAAAUCUAUUAUGACUGCCGCUUCUAGUUGGCGUGUUUCAGGAAUGAAUUACCUUCAGUUUUCCAAUUUUGCUGCACAAUGUUUACGUCGUGGCUUAAAAAAUAUUAACGAAACACAGCUUCAACAGUUGGAGUCUUCAACUUUAAAAGUAAUUGAAUAUAAGAAGGACUUGGCAUCUCCUAGCCCACUAAUUCAGUAAAUCCUUCUUCAUUACUCGUUUCAUAAAAUAGUCGAGUGCUGAAUUAGACCAAAGUAAUAAAGAAUUUCGAUCUUUUCUAUGAGAAUACUAA
Long non-coding RNA from Zophobas morio, 303 nucleotides. RefSeq lists it as uncharacterized. The transcript has 4 exons. Lineage: Eukaryota; Metazoa; Arthropoda; Insecta; Coleoptera; Tenebrionidae. The record is from RefSeq and is a predicted model, not a curated record.